RNAcentral lists this ribosomal RNA (253 nucleotides) under uncultured bacterium. RNAcentral's name for it is "partial 16S ribosomal RNA". It matches the Rfam family "Bacterial small subunit ribosomal RNA", at positions 524 to 776 of the family's 1533-position model. The record is from RNAcentral.
UACAGAGGGUGCAAGCGUUAAUCGGAAUUACUGGGCGUAAAGCGUGCGUAGACGGUUAUGUAAGUCAGAUGUGAAAGCCCCGGGCUCAACCUGGGAAUUGCAUUUGAGACUGCAUAGCUAGGGUGCGGAAGAGGGAAGCGGAAUUUCCGGUGUAGCGGUGAAAUGCGUAGAUAUCGGAAGGAACACCAGUGGCGAAAGCGGCUUCCUGGUCCAGCACCGACGUUCAGGCACGAAAGCGUGGGGAGCAAACAGG